UGAGGAAUAUUGGUCAAUGGGCGAGAGCCUGAACCAGCCAAAUCGCGUGAAGGAAGACUGCCUUAUGGGGUUGUAAACUUCUUUUAUACAGGAAUAAAAAACGGGGACGUGUCCCUUAUUGCAUGUACUGUAUGAAUAAGCAUCGGCUAACUCCGUGCCAGCAGCCGCGGUAAUACGGAGGAUGCGAGCGUUAUCCGGAUUUAUUGGGUUUAAAGGGUGCGCAGGCGGGCUUUUAAGUCAGCGGUGAAAUCUCGGGGUCUUAACUCCGAAACUGCCGUUGAAACUGGGAGUCGUUGAGUAUGGAUGAAGUAGGCGGAAUUCGUUGUGUAGCGGGUGACAUGCUUAGAUAUAACGAGGAACUCCGAUUGCGUAGGCAGCUUACUAAGCCAUAACUGACGCUCAAGCACAAAGCGUGGGGAUCAAACAGGAUUAGAUACCCUGGUAGUCCACGCCGUAAAGCGAUGAUUACUAGUUGUAUGCGAUAUACCGUAUG
RNAcentral lists this ribosomal RNA (493 nucleotides) under uncultured bacterium. RNAcentral describes it as "partial 16S ribosomal RNA". It matches the Rfam family "Bacterial small subunit ribosomal RNA", at positions 355 to 843 of the family's 1533-position model. The record is from RNAcentral.